RNAcentral lists this ribosomal RNA (453 nucleotides) under uncultured bacterium. Its description in RNAcentral is "SSU rRNA". It matches the Rfam family "Bacterial small subunit ribosomal RNA", at positions 26 to 518 of the family's 1533-position model. The record is from RNAcentral.
AGGACGAACGUUGGCGGCGUGCCUAACACAUGCAAGUCGAACGUGGCUUAAGUUUACUUAAGUCUAGUGGCGGACGGCAGAGUAAUGCACAGGAACGUACCUCGAGGUGAGGGAUAGCCCUUCGAAAGAAGGGGUAAUACCCCAUAUGCUCGCAAGAGUAAAGCCGCAAGGCGCCACGAGAACGGCCUGUGUCCUAUCAGGUAGUUGGUGAGGUAAAGGCUCACCAAGCCUAUGACGGGUAGCUGGUCUGAGAGGAUGAUCAGCCUGAUCGGGACUGAGACACGGCCCGAACUCCUACGGGAGGCAGCAGUUGGGAAUUUUGCACAAUGGACGAAAGUCUGAUGCAGCGACGCCGCGUGGAGGAUGAAGGUCUUCGGAUCGUAAACUCCUUUACUGGGAAUAUUUAUGAAGUCCAAGUGAAUAAGCACCGGCUAACUCCGUGCCAGCAGCCGC